AGUAAUAACAAAUCAAGUCCAAUCAUUCGCCCAGUCUGCAAGAGAAUUUGUAGCUAGUAACGCGUUUCAACUUGACGUAAUAGUAGCAGCCGAUCUGCACGGCGGGGGUGGUCGAUUUAAAAAGAACCUUAACGCUACGGAACAGAGAUCUAUUGUUACAUCGAAAAACCAUAAAAGGAAUGGUUUGCUCUCAAAAGCAUUACGUGCUGGGAAGUUUGAUGUAAACAUUCAACAGAAAAUGUGUGUAUUGUUUACAGUUGUUACUGGUAAAAAAUUUUGCGAGUAUAAGGAAAAGUUGAAAAUUGUGGGAAAUGAUCCUAAUGCAAAUCAGAGUAGAAAAAUUGAACUAGAUAAUGAGUGGAAAGAUGUCACCAAGCAACAGUCACGAGACUUUGUUAAUGACGUAAUGUGGUUUCUCAAAAAUUUAAACUUGUCUCUAGAGGAAGGUGCCGGUACCGAACACCUCAAAAGAAUUCAACAGCUUUUGGGAAACGACUAUAAAUUAAUUGUUUACUCGGGCCAUUCAAACGAAUCUCGUUCGUUCGGUUCAGCUUAUUCACCAGGAGAUGAAUCUAAAAAGCAUAUUUAUCUAGCCUACGACCAAGAGACACAUAUCAUUAUGAUAUGAUGAAAAACCCUGCAAGUUAUCUUUUGUCAAAAUUUUACUGUACGUUUUGCGAAAAAGAGCUUUUUUUUUAACGAACGUCACGCUGACUGUCCCGGAUCAAAAUGCGCCAAGUGCAACCUUGUGUGUAAGUCAGACGUUCGAUUGCCUGAGAAAAGAAAUUGUGACGACUGCAACUUUGAAUUCUUGACAAAUAUGUGUUUUGAGGGGCACAAAGAGCAAAGGAAAUGCGAAGAGAGGAAAAUAUGUUGAAAAUGCUGUUUGCUUAUCGAUUACAAGCUUUUAAACGGAAAGAAUCGUAUUUGUAACACGCGGCACUGUCAAAAUUGUGAAAAAUUCGUAAAACUUCCACACGUCUGCUACAUUCGCAAACCUAGACCUAGCAAGAAUCUCGAGGAGAAAGAUAGCAAUACUUUAAUAACUUUUGCUGAUUUUGAAUGUACACAGCUAACACAGCACGAUGAGGUGCUUGCAGACAAUCGCGAUGGAGUACGCAGAAUCCAUAGAGUAAAUUUAGUCUGUUCUCAAACGGUAUAUAAAAAUUGUCGAGAUAGAGAGAUUAACGAAGAAGGUCCACAAUGCGAAGUGUGUGGAAUGCGUGAAUUAUGCAUUUCGAAUAUUAACGAUCCUAACUUGAACGUCGUCAAAGCUUUUCUCGAAAUGCUUAAUGAAAAAAGCAGCGGGAAACAUCGACCAGACAAUUAGAAGGGCAGUUUAUCAGACCAUGUGUGCUUGUUUCACAAUCUUAAAGGUUAUGACGGAGUCUUAAUAUUGAACGAAAUACUGCGAAGCAACAAGUGGACCGUGAAAACUGUAAUACUUAAUGGAUUGACCGUAAUGCAGCUGGAGAUUGUGUACAUUGAGUCAGGCGCAAGAAUUACGUUUAAGGAUUUCAUAAAUUUUGUGCCAUACAGUCUUAGCAAAUUACCAAAAGCAUUCAAACUGAGCAAUGAUUUAGCAAAAGGAUAUUUCCCGCAUUUGUUCAAUCGACCAGAAAAUUACACGUAUAGAGAAAAAAAAAUUACCGGCAAUGGAGUUCUAUGAUCCGACAAAUAUGGGCGUUUCCCAGUACGAGGCAAUCAUAGGUUGGUAUGAAAAGAAGUGAGGCGUCUAGAGGAAUCAGAUGAUGAAGUGUUUGAUUUCCCUGCUGAGAUUGUAAAGUACUGCAAAAACGAUGUGACAAUUUUGAGACAGACUGCAUUACAAUUUAGUUCAUUCUUCGAAACUUAUGCGUGUAUAGUCCUUUUCUUGAAUCAAUAACGAUUGCUUCCCUUGUAAGUCUUUUGUAUAGAAGGAACUUUUACAAACCAAAAUCUAUAGGAUUGAUACCGCGGAGUGAUUCAUAUAGAACCAACCAAAGUAAGGAAGCUUUGAUGUAUUUUAGAUAUUUAGAAACGGAACAAAACCUGGUCAAUCUCAAGCACGCUGGCAAUGGUCAAGAAGAGAUAGUCGGAGGAUAUCCUGUUGACGCACUAUAUAGACACAUCAACUAAUACUGUAUACCAAUAUAUGGGUGACUACUGGCAUUUCUGUCCAGAUUGCUAUCCAGACGACGAAAAGGCCAACUUCGAGGCUAAAAAACAAUACGAAUCUGGACUGGCUAGAAGACAGGCAACAUUUUUGCGAACCAGAACGCUGGAAAAAUUGAAAUACAGUGUUUUAGAGAUGUAUGGAUGUAAAUUUAAGGCAUUAUUGAAAGAUCAACCACAAGUUAAGGAGAAAUUACUGAAAGAUCCGAUUGUUCAAAAAGGAUAUUUGCGUGCAAGAAAUUGCCUAAGCGGUGGUCGUACUAAUAGUGUUAUUUUGUGGCACGAAUGUGGGCAUGACGAGGAAAUUAAUUAUUAUGAUUUUACUUCCCUCUAUCCGACCACACAGAAAUACUGUGAGUACAUUGUAGUUCAUCCUACAGUGUACACUACAAAUUUCCCUAGUCUCGACUCUGUAAAGGGUUUUGUUUUCUGUAGAGUGUUGCCUCCAGAUUCUCUUUACCACCCUGUACUACCACAAAAAGUUGGAGAUAAACUUUUGUUCCAUCUCUGUAAAAAAUGUGCCACUCAAAAAAUCACAAUUCUCCAUACUGCACCCACACCGAUGAGGAAAGAUCAUACGGUGGCUCUUGGAGUUCGUGGGAGCUGAACUUGGCUAGGAAAUUUGGAUACAAGAUCACUGAAAUUACGAAAUCUGGCACUACGAGAAAACAACCAAGUACAAGAAGAAUGAAGAUGAAGGCCUUUUCACCAGUUUUGUAAACGCUUUCCUAAAAUUGAAGCAGGAAGCAUCAGGUUGGCCAGAAAACAACAUGUCUAACGAGGACAAGAAAAAAUACAUCGAGUCAUAUGCGAUCGAAGAAAGCAUUGAUCUGGACGAGAGUAAAAUCGAAAAGAAUGAGGUCAUAAGAACUGUAGCAAAACUCUGCCUUAAUUCGCUAUGGGGGAAAUUUGGACAAAACGCAAGAAGCAAAACAGCAGUCAUUGAGGUUCGCAGCAGGCUCCUUGAACUUCUCUCUGCCCCUAGCGUCACUGUGACCAAUAUUAUGUGUGAUGCAACAUCCAAAGCAGUAGUUCAGUACAAUGACGAUCAGGAUACUUUGAAUAAUGUAAAUGUUUUGGUAGCAGCGUUGACUACUAGUCACGCAAGAAUUAUGCUAUACCAGCUUUUACACAUUUUCUAGGUAAGAAGGUUCUAGCAUUUGACACCGAUAGCGUUAUUUACACUCAAAAGAAAGGAACACCUCUGCUUAAGACCGGUCGAUUCUUAGGGUGUUUGACAGAUGAAGUAGCCGAAUAUGGUGAGGGUUCCAAAAUAACCAAAUACGCAUCUCUUGGUCCUAAAAAACCAUUGUUUUGUUGUACAAAAAACCAGACGGAACUUGCAAAGAAGUGAGAAAAUGUAAGGGUAUAACAUAUUGAAACAAAAUAAUAUCCAGGAAACUCUAGCAUGGAGUCAAUUGAAAAAAUUGCUUAACGGAGAGGUUGAUGAAAUCAAUAUUCAAAUUCACAACAAAAUUCAAAGAUCAUCCGAUUUCCAAAUUUAUUCGGAAAAUGGUACUAAGAAAAUGCGAUUGGUCUAUGAUAAAAGAGUAUUGAUUUCCAAAUAUGAAACAAUCCCUUGGGGCACAAAGAGGGGUGCUAAAGAACCUAUCCACGAUGAAAAUAUUGUGAUUGAUGAACUGGAAUAUUAGAAACCAUAUCCCUUGAAUUGGACAUGCAAUACUUCUCCGUUUAUUUGAAUUGAUUUUAUAAAUUUUUUAAU
This is a long non-coding RNA of Cloeon dipterum, 3877 nucleotides long. RefSeq lists it as uncharacterized. Lineage: Eukaryota; Metazoa; Arthropoda; Insecta; Ephemeroptera; Baetidae. The transcript is spliced from 3 exons. The record is from RefSeq and is a predicted model, not a curated record.